Molecule: ribosomal RNA, 301 nt
Filed under: uncultured bacterium
Lineage: Bacteria
Description: partial 16S ribosomal RNA
Rfam family: Bacterial small subunit ribosomal RNA
Source: RNAcentral
CAGCCGCCGCGGGAAUACAGAGGGUGCGAGCGUUAAUCGGAUUUACUGGGCGUAAAGCGUGCGUAGGCGGCUUCUUAAGUCGGAUGUGAAAUCCCUGAGCUUAACUUAGGAAUUGCAUUCGAUACUGGGAAGCUAGAGUAUGGGAGAGGAUGGUAGAAUUCCAGGUGUAGCGGUGAAAUGCGUAGAGAUCUGGAGGAAUACCGAUGGCGAAGGCAGCCAUCUGGCCUAAUACUGACGCUGAUGUACGAAAGCAUGGGGAGCAAACAGGAUUAGAGACCCCCGUAGUCCCUGUCUCUUAUAC